UUUUGGACAAUGGGCGCAAGCCUGAUCCAGCAAUGCCGCGUGCAGGAAGAAGGCCUUCGGGUUGUAAACUGCUUUUGUACGGAACCCAACCCCCCCUGGUUAAUACCUGGGGCUAAUGACGGUACCGUAAGAAUAAGCACCGGCUAACUACGUGCCAGCAGCCGCGGUAAUACGUAGGGUGCAAGCGUUAAUCGGAAUUACUGGGCGUAAAGCGUGCGCAGGCGGUUUUGUAAGACAGGCGUGAAAUCCCCGGGCUUAACCUGGGAAUGGCGCUUGUGACUGCAAAGCUGGAGUGCGGCAGAGGGGGAUGGAAUUCCGCGUGUAGCAGUGAAAUGCGUAGAUAUGCGGAGGAACACCGAUGGCGAAGGCAAUCCCCCGGUUCCCUACGCUCAGCAGAAA
RNAcentral lists this ribosomal RNA (399 nucleotides) under uncultured bacterium. RNAcentral's name for it is "bacterial SSU rRNA". It matches the Rfam family "Bacterial small subunit ribosomal RNA", at positions 362 to 758 of the family's 1533-position model. The record is from RNAcentral.